GCUGGGUAUAGUGGCACAUACCUGUAAUCUCAAUGGCACAGGAGGCUGAGGCAGGAGGAUUACAAGUUUGAGGUCAGCCUCAACAAUUUAGCAUGACCUUAAGCAACUUAAUGAGACCCUGCCUCAA
RNAcentral lists this small RNA (127 nucleotides) under Marmota monax (woodchuck). Lineage: Eukaryota; Metazoa; Chordata; Mammalia; Rodentia; Sciuridae. The record is from RNAcentral.